AUGGAAUCACCCGAUUGGCAGAACCAUACAGAAGCAAUAGCGCGGCGGAAGCAACACCAAGUACAAAUCAGAGUGGCGCAGCACAGCAGCGACCCAAACCCGAGAGAGAUGGCCGCGGCAGCUCACCUCCGUUGUCACAUCGUCUUCAAUUCGGCGAGCAACGCCCGGCGUCACACGCAGGCCUCCGCCCCGUCGCUCUCGCGCGGUCGCCUCCCAACGGCUCGAAAGCCUCCCGUGGCCGGCUGCCAGCGCCACGGCGUAGGGGCCUUGGAACUAGGCGACGGAGCGGCGAGGCGGCCGGCGCCGCGGUUCCUGUGCCUGCACGGGUUCCGCACCAGCGGGGAGAUCAUGCGGAGGCAGGUGGCCCGCCGGCGUCACGUCCCGCCUGGACCUCGCCUUCGCCGACGCGCCCUUCCCCGCCGAGGGCGACUCCCCGGUGCGCGGCGUCUUCGACCCGCCCUACUACGAGUGGUGCCACUUCGCCGGCGAGGUCAGUCCGGCGGGCCUCCGACAGACCAGGAUUUUUUGAAGUACAAGAACUUCGGCGAGUGCUUGGCCGGCAUCGAGGAGCUGAUGGUGAGACAAGGGCCGUUCGACGGACUGUUUGGUUUCUCUCAGGUGGGCGCCCUCCUGUCGGCCGCGCUUGGGUUGGCCUUGAACAUGGUUCCUAGGGUGAAGUACGUUAUGAUCAUAUCCGGUGCGAAGAUCCAAUCCCCGGCAUUGGCUGCCAAGGCGUACGCCAACAAGAUCAACUGCACUUCGCUUCACUUCAUUGGUGACGGUGACUUCGUGAAGGCCCACGGCGAGGAGCUGGCGGACUCGUUCGUGGAUCCACUUGUCAUACGCCACCCGGCCGGACACACGGUCCCCAGAUUCGACGAGAAGGGUCUCCAAGCGAUGCUCGGCUACCUUGACAAGAUUGAAAGGGAUCUGGCGAGAGAUUAAUCAAUUGUGCUGACCACCACUCUGUUUCAUGAGUUUAUGGCACAAUAGUGAUAUAACAUGGGUGGCUGACAUUUGAAGACCACGAUAACCGUUUGACACAAGACUGCAGAGAAGAGAAAAGUAUUAGGCUGUUACUAUCUCUAUUCCAGUGAAUAAGAAGCGCUCGCAUUUAUUUUAGAGAUUUAACGAAAUAGUGGAGACCGUGAACCAGCCAUUGGUUGGUGCAAUAAUAUAUAUUCAUUCGGCAGGAGACAGUUCUGAAGAUCACGGAAAUGCUGGGAGAAACGUAUGAAAGAGCAAAUAUAAACUUUUGGGUUGUGCUUAGGCCUUUUUAUUAUCACAGUACAGACGCGGAUGCUCAUACACAUGCACAUACACCCACCCCUGUCACGCACGUACGCACACCUUAUCCUUAUGAGCCUCUUUGAGAGUCCGAGCCGACACAUCAUCUUGUACUUAGGCUUGACAGAGGUUGUUGUCUGCCUCAUAUGUUCCUUGGCUUUCUUUUUAUUUUUGCCCUUUCUACAAUUUAUUUUCAUGUAAUAAAUGAAAAUCGACAAGGAGGCUCAUUGUUUCAAAUAAAAUAAAAUUGGGGGGAGACAAAGUUCACAUCAACAUUGUUUAACUCAAAACAUCGGUAAUGGUAUAACUCAAACUUGAUGCUUCGCCUAUGGCUCUAGUCUCCACAUGUGCGUGUGUGCGUGUACUCGGUGAUUCUAAAAAGUUUGAAUCAUUAUUCAAACACUCAAACACAUUUUUUUUUAAAUUUAAUAAUAUUCUCUUGAGCAUUCCUUUUGGGGAAUAAAGGCCAAUUUUGAUCACAUUCAUGCUGUGUGAUGCCUGCCGUGGAGGGUCCGUGGGAGCUGCC
This 1813-nucleotide ribosomal RNA is filed under the name Triticum aestivum (bread wheat). RNAcentral describes it as "partial small subunit ribosomal RNA". Lineage: Eukaryota; Viridiplantae; Streptophyta; Magnoliopsida; Poales; Poaceae. The record is from RNAcentral.